GACGAACGCUGGCGGCAUGCCUUACACAUGCAAGUCGAACGGUAACAGGUCUUCGGAUGCUGACGAGUGGCGAACGGGUGAGUAAUACAUCGGAACGUGCCUAGUAGUGGGGGAUAACUACUCGAAAGAGUGGCUAAUACCGCAUGAGAUCUACGGAUGAAAGCAGGGGAUCGCAAGACCUUGUGCUACUAGAGCGGCCGAUGGCAGAUUAGGUAGUUGGUGGGAUAAAAGCUUACCAAGCCGACGAUCUGUAGCUGGUCUGAGAGGACGAUCAGCCACACUGGGACUGAGACACGGCCCAGACUCCUACGGGAGGCAGCAGUGGGGAAUUUUGGACAAUGGGCGCAAGCCUGAUCCAGCAAUGCCGCGUGCAGGAUGAAGGCCUUCGGGUUGUAAACUGCUUUUGUACGGAACGAAAAGCCCUGGGUUAAUACCCUGGGGUCAUGACGGUACCGUAAGAAUAAGCACCGGCUAACUACGUGCCAGCCGCCGCGGUAA
RNAcentral lists this ribosomal RNA (498 nucleotides) under uncultured bacterium. RNAcentral describes it as "partial 16S ribosomal RNA". It matches the Rfam family "Bacterial small subunit ribosomal RNA", at positions 28 to 523 of the family's 1533-position model. The record is from RNAcentral.